This 417-nucleotide ribosomal RNA is filed under the name uncultured bacterium. RNAcentral describes it as "bacterial SSU rRNA". It matches the Rfam family "Bacterial small subunit ribosomal RNA", at positions 356 to 773 of the family's 1533-position model. The record is from RNAcentral.
GGGGGAUAUUGCACAAUGGGCGCAAGCCUGAUGCAGCGACGCCGCGUGAGGGAUGACGGCUUUCGGGUUGUAAACCUCUUUUACUAUUGAACAAGGCGCCAUAUUGGUGGUGUUGAGGGUAGGUGGUGAAUAAGCGCCGGCUAACUACGUGCCAGCAGCCGCGGUAAUACGUAGGGCGCGAGCGUUGUCCGGAAUUAUUGGGCGUAAAGAGCUCGUAGGCGGCUUGUCGCGUCUGCUUGGAAAUCCUGGGGCUUAACUCUGGGCGUGCAGUGGGUACGGGCAGGCUAGAGUGCGGUAGGGGUGAUUGGAAUUCCUGGUGUAGCGGUGGAAUGCGCAGAUAUCAGGAGGAACACCGAUGGCGAAGGCAGGUCACUGGGCCGUUACUGACGCUGAGGAGCGAAAGCAUGGGGAGCGAAC